Molecule: long non-coding RNA, 458 nt
Organism: Raphanus sativus (radish)
Lineage: Eukaryota; Viridiplantae; Streptophyta; Magnoliopsida; Brassicales; Brassicaceae
Exons: 2
Source: RefSeq, a predicted model, not a curated record
AUGGUCAAAAACGGUGUAGUAGAUAUGGUUAAUAAAGUUAAAUAUCUUAAUCUAAUUUACACUUUCUUUAAUGUCUUCUUCUCACCUCAGCGGCGGAAAUCUCUCUAUCCACACUGAAUCUCAGAAAAUGACUACUCAAGCGCAACAGGAAACUAUGACAUUAAAGAUCACCAUUUUGGAUUGGAAUAAUACCAGAUCCAGGACAAGUGCGUUCAGCUAGUUUCAUGUCUAAGACAAGAAGCGCAAUUAAGGAUUACAAACAGAAGACAACAAUAGUAAAUUAGAAGAUUGUUAUGGCACAUAAGGUUGUGACUAAAUUUUCAGAAUUGCUUGGUGUAGAUGAAGACAGUAUUAUAUAUGCUUGCGUUUUGUAGCUUUCUUUGUUUGUUUUAAAACUUUUUGUAAGUAUUAUGUUAAACUAUUUCAGUGUUAAUGAUUUAGAUUUCAACUUUAAACGA